GGAGAACUUAAUUACCCCGUGACCUAGCUUUUCCCCUUUCCUCUUCUCCCUCAUGCGCGCGACAAAUCUGUGCAGGCGGAAAACGCCGCACGAAGCCGAGCUAGGGCUCGUCUCCGGCGGCCGGCGAGCACCCUUCUCCGCGGGUUCUUCACAGAUCCGAGCUCUCCUCGAUGAGGAGAGCGUGUAGACGUGAGGAAUCACCGGAUUUGGAGUGUUGCCGAAGCCCUAGAAGCUUCUUCUCCGAUGUGAGUCCAAGAACGCGAAGAUAAAGGAAAGGAAAAGAUCUAGCAAGGAAAGCGACAAGGUGGUGCGGAUGGUGUGUGAUGCGUGGAUUGUGGGAGAGAUCAGGGGAAUUGAGUCAUACUUUAUGCUUAUUGUCGACUGAGAUUGUUAAAGAGUUAUUUCUUAUUAUUCCGCAUUGUUAGUUUGGUUGUUUCCACUGUUGGAGCUUUAUUCAUGUACUAUUGCUAGAAUAGUUUGUUUUUA
This is a long non-coding RNA of Zingiber officinale, 486 nucleotides long. RefSeq lists it as uncharacterized. The record is from RefSeq and is a predicted model, not a curated record. The transcript has 2 exons. Lineage: Eukaryota; Viridiplantae; Streptophyta; Magnoliopsida; Zingiberales; Zingiberaceae.